AUAAAUGAUAAAAAAUACAAAUGUCAAAACCACUAAACAAAAUUACUAAAAAUAAAGGGCAAUUCAAAAUAUUAAUAAAAUACUAUAAUAAUACCAGAUGCACAUAUGACAUGCUUAAGUCAAAAGUUCAGGUGUUUACAGAUCGGAUUAUUAAGCAUUAUUAAUACAUUACUAGUAUUAAGACUCAAUAUUUCUAUCUGCUGAUGUGUGACCUAUAUAUGCAUUUCUCAAAAACUGUGCAACCUCAAAAUCGAAAUGAUAUGUGGUUCCUGGUAAGCGGUAUGUGCCUGUCUGGACAGCAUUUCCCACUCUGCGUUUAACCGGUUGAAUUCAGGGGAACUCACAUGAGGUCAGUGUGUGUGUGUGUGUGUUAUCAGAUCACUGAUGCUAAGAACUGCAGCGGGGGCUGUCAGGACUGAGUCUGACAGCAGGUCAACUAGCUAAUCAAACGUCUCUUUUCCUGAGAGAAAGCUGCUUAUCAGUUUCCUUUGACAUCUACGUUCUGUGAAUCAGACCCGAUCUCAUUCUUAAGCACAAUCCACAAAGUUGAAUCACUCCAGUAUACACUCUCCGAAAAAAAGAUAAGACUACAAAAGCUGGCUUAUUUACCUCUAAAUGGUACAUUUUAGUAGAAUUUGAUUUUUAGCGCAUGUGCACAGUCAAACGCACAGCCUUUCAAUGUUUCAUAUCUUGCAUUAAAGGAGUGCUCAAAACACAUGCGCACUGCAAAAAUGUAUAUUUUUUUCAGUGUCUGCGUUUUUUCCCACAUUGGUAAUAAACUAUAGAAACGUCUUUAUACUCAAGAGGUGUGUAUAUCAGAGUAAAUCUAGCUGUAUAUAUGGAAGGCCGAAAGGGCCAAAAUACUUUAAAUGGAAUGCGUGAUAUUUUAUUGCAUCAAUACGCACUGUUCAUUCUCGUUAACAUGCCUUCAAAUUUACGGUUGUACUGUUUUACAAAAGUAUACAUAGUUAUAUAUUAGUACCUAAAGCAGUGCUCAGCAACUUUGGUCCUGCAGAGUUUAGUUCCACCCCUAAACAAACACAUCUGCCCGUAUGCUCUUAAAAAUAAAGUGGCUUAAAACCAUUUUUGAACCAUUCGAUCAAAGGUUUUUUUAAGAACCAUCUCUUUCUUACCUUUGUAUGAUAUGAAAAUCUUAUUUUGUCAAACAGAAAGGUUUCAAUACUCUAUAUAAGUCUUCUAAAGCCAAUAACCGAAGUCUUCAUUCAAUGAUUAUCUCUUCUCAGCCGCAGCUUUCAAAUGUCAUGUUUUCAUACACUCAUUUUCAAACCGGGUUUGAUAUCUUGCAGGUCUCAUAACGGAACGUGACAUGCAAAAUUUUCAUUUGCCGACACAUGAAUGAAAAUAUCUUGUUUUGUGUUCCAGACAGUCACGCAGGUUUGCUAUGACAUGAAAAUUAGCAAAGAACUUUAAUUGUUAAUUGAACUAUCCAAAUAAAUAAAAUAAAGUCAGUUUAUUGGCGUUGUUGGUUCCAUGAAGAAACUUUAACAUCCAUGGAACUUGUCAAACGCACAAAAUGUUCUAUAAAGUCAAAAAAAGUUCUUCAGAUGACUAAAAUGUUCUUCACACUGACAAAUAAAGGCAUCUUUUAAGAUAUGCUCAUAUAAAUUGGAAUCAAAAAUGUGUUUGCUGUGAAAUCCCCCUUUUGAACUUUUAUUUUUAGGAUCUUUCUUUGUAGCUGAUGUAAAGAAGGGCAUAACUGCAGUGGAUCUGUUCUGUUGAGUUUCUGGAACAGCAUGUGCAGCGAUCAGAGGAGUGAAAGGACGUGAGUAAUACCAAAGGGAAACACCCAUAUAACAAAGAUGCUGAAGGAAAGUGAUAGAGAGUUUUGGCUUUGACUAAAAGCCAAAUGCGAUCCAAACGGUUUGACGACUGUUAGACAGGCGUGUGCUCGAAUGUACAGACUGCAGGAACUGAAUGCACGCAUGCAAAGCAUUGCAUUUCUGUAAGAACCAGUCAUGCAGAUUUGAGGGCCGUUGUUGUUGUUUUCUUGAUAAAUUACAGAGAAUUUACGAGGUGCACGGCCGCUCGAUUCAGCUGAGCGCUUCACCCACGCAAUGUAAUUAAUGCCAGAAUCUGAAGCAAACAAGACCAGAGCCACAACAAGUGUGAAGCACGACAGAAGCCGUGACGCAUCACCACAUGUUUGCAGCACUAAAUAAUUCAGGUUUGUGGUUAACGAGAAGAUGACCGGGUGUCAGGUGCGUCGUGGAUGAUGUUUCUGGAUGAAGUUCUCACCAGGUGCAGACUGUCGGCUUUCUGCGUUUGUCUCAUUCGGCUCUUCUGCGCCGCGAUGCGGUUCUUCUCUCUCCUCAUCACCUUCCUUACGUCAUCCGUCGAACCCUGAAAACCAGCACACACCAGUUUAUGUAACACUUUCGGGAGGGUCUCUGACCAGGAUGUAGAAGCUGAAGGUCAAGUUCCUCCAGAGCAUCUCCAUGUAUCCCAAUCAUACAAAAUAAAACCAAUAGUGUUUUUAUUUUUUAGAUUUUCA
Puntigrus tetrazona (Sumatra barb) is the source of this 2512-nucleotide long non-coding RNA. RefSeq lists it as uncharacterized. Lineage: Eukaryota; Metazoa; Chordata; Actinopteri; Cypriniformes; Cyprinidae. The transcript has 3 exons. The record is from RefSeq and is a predicted model, not a curated record.